RNAcentral lists this ribosomal RNA (750 nucleotides) under Chloropicon laureae. RNAcentral describes it as "partial Bacterial large subunit ribosomal RNA". It matches the Rfam family "Bacterial large subunit ribosomal RNA", at positions 596 to 1350 of the family's 2925-position model. The record is from RNAcentral. Lineage: Eukaryota; Viridiplantae; Chlorophyta; Chloropicophyceae; Chloropicales; Chloropicaceae.
UCUACGUACUUCUUGCAUAACGGAUCAGCGAGUUAGUUUCUAAAACAGGCUUAAACAAUAAUGUGAAAGCGAAAAGAAAUUGAAAAGGUUUUAGGAAAAAGACCCGAACCUAAGUGAUCUAAGUAUGAGCAGGUUGAAGCUUCAUGAAAGUGAAGUGAAGGACCGAACCCACUAGCGUUGCAAUGCUAGGGGAAGACUUGUGCUUAGGGGUGAAAGGCCAAACAAACUUAGAUCUAGCUGGUUCUCCCCGAAAUCUAUUGAGGUAGAGCACUUUUUAUAUAUAUCUUAUGGGGUAGAGCACUUCAUGGGUGUGGGGGGCGUAAAGCUUUACCAUUUCCAAGAAAACUCCGAAUACGUAUAGAUAGAAAAAGCAGACAGGCUUUGGGCGCAAAGGUGCAGAGCCAAAAGGGAAAAAGCCCAGAUUCUCAGUUAAGGUCUUAAAUCUCUUUCUAAGUGUGAAAGGAGCAACACGAGUGAAAUCAAUUUCGAGGUGGGCUUAGAGGCAGCCAAUCCGCAGAGGAAAGCGUAACAGCUCAUUGAUUUAACCGUGGUUGACCAAAAAUGUAACGAGUCUCAAGAAAGAAACCGAAACUAGAAAAAUAAAAAUUUGGUAGGAGAGCGUUGUGUGUGUCGUAGGGUUAUACCCAUUGCAAGAUCAUUUUUUAAAAUAGAUCGGAGACCUCACAAGUGACUAUGCUGAUAUUAGUAACGUAAAAUCAUGUGAAAAACAUGAUCACCGAAACUUCAAGG